This 110-nucleotide transfer RNA is filed under the name Ramalina farinacea. RNAcentral's name for it is "tRNA-Ala". Lineage: Eukaryota; Fungi; Ascomycota; Lecanoromycetes; Lecanorales; Ramalinaceae. The record is from RNAcentral.
GCUCUACUGGUGAAGUGGUAAUCACGCUUGCAACGCUUUAACUCAUAUGGAUCGUAUAUAACUCAAAUCGACAGAAGCAAGAGUGGAGAGUUCGAUUCUCUCGUGGGGCA